GAUAAACGCUGGCGGCGUGCCUAAUACAUGCAAGUCGAGCGAACGGACGAGAAGCUUGCUUCUCUGAUGUUAGCGGCGGACGGGUGAGUAACACGUGGAUAACCUACCUAUAAGACUGGGAUAACUUCGGGAAACCGGAGCUAAUACCGGAUAAUAUUUUGAACCGCAUGGUUCAAAAGUGAAAGACGGUCUUGCUGUCACUUAUAGAUGGAUCCGCGCUGCAUUAGCUAGUUGGUAAGGUAACGGCUUACCAAGGCAACGAUGCAUAGCCGACCUGAGAGGGUGAUCGGCCACACUGGAACUGAGACACGGUCCAGACUCCUACGGGAGGCAGCAGUAGGGAAUCUUCCGCAAUGGGCGAAAGCCUGACGGAGCAACGCCGCGUGAGUGAUGAAGGUCUUCGGAUCGUAAAACUCUGUUAUUAGGGAAGAACAUAUGUGUAAGUAACUGUGCACACCUUGACGGUACCUAAUCAGAAAGCCACGGCUAACUACGUGCCAGCAGCCGCGGUAAUACGUAGGUGGCAAGCGUUAUCCGGAAUUAUUGGGCGUAAAGCGCGCGUAGGCGGUUUUUUAAGUCUGAUGUGAAAGCCCACGGCUCAACCGUGGAGGGUCAUUGGAAACUGGAAAACUUGAGUGCAGAAGAGGAAAGUGGAAUUCCAUGUGUAGCGGUGAAAUGCGCAGAGAUAUGGAGGAACACCAGUGGCGAAGGCGACUUUCUGGUCUGUAACUGACGCUGAUGUGCGAAAGCGUGGGGAUCAAACAGGAUUAGAUACCCUGGUAGUCCACGCCGUAAACGAUGAGUGCUAAGUGUUAGGGGGUUUCCGCCCCUUAGUGCUGCAGCUAACGCAUUAGGCACUCCGCCUGGGGAGUACGACCGCAAGGUUGAAACUCAAAGGAAUUGACGGGGACCCGCACAAGCGGUGGAGCAUGUGGUUUAAUUCGAAGCAACGCGAAGAACCUUACCAAAUCUUGACAUCCUUUGACAACUCUAGAGAUAGAGCCUUCCCCUUCGGGGGACAAAGUGACAGGUGGUGCAUGGUUGUCGUCAGCUCGUGUCGUGAGAUGUUGGGUUAAGUCCCGCAACGAGCGCAACCCUUAAGCUUAGUUGCCAUCAUUAAGUUGGGCACUCUAAGUUGACUGCCGGUGACAAACCGGAGGAAGGUGGGGAUGACGUCAAAUCAUCAUGCCCCUUAUGAUUUGGGCUACACACGUGCUACAAUGGACAAUACAAAGGGCAGCGAAACCGCGAGGUCAAGCAAAUCCCAUAAAGUUGUUCUCAGUUCGGAUUGUAGUCUGCAACUCGACUACAUGAAGCUGGAAUCGCUAGUAAUCGUAGAUCAGCAUGCUACGGUGAAUACGUUCCCGGGUCU
RNAcentral lists this ribosomal RNA (1372 nucleotides) under uncultured bacterium. RNAcentral describes it as "bacterial SSU rRNA". It matches the Rfam family "Bacterial small subunit ribosomal RNA", at positions 28 to 1381 of the family's 1533-position model. The record is from RNAcentral.